This 1157-nucleotide long non-coding RNA is filed under the name Amborella trichopoda. RNAcentral's name for it is "long non-coding RNA (ATRI_LNC002639)". Lineage: Eukaryota; Viridiplantae; Streptophyta; Magnoliopsida; Amborellales; Amborellaceae. The record is from RNAcentral.
GAAGUGCCACCAAAUUUAAAUCCUCACAAACUCUACCUCAUCACUUUCAAAACCUCUGACUUUCUCUUCUUCUUCUUCUACUUCUUCUAAAUCUUCAAUUAUCAAACCCUUAAAUCCUCACAAACUCUACCUCAUCACUUUCAAAACCUCCGACUUUCAAAACCUCCGAGGACGAACCGACGGACAUCGACCCCCCCUUUCAAGCCAUCUUACAAAUGUGUGAUUUAGAAGGCGUAGCGCAGCGCAAGGGAGCCGGAGUCAAACCGAACCGAGAGGUAGGGGAGCUUUCCAAAUUGUGAUCUAAGUCAGCGCCCGGGCAUGUCACGACCCCAUCACGUGAGGUAGGUCCUACCUCACUUAGAUUUUUCUUUUGUUGGUUCUAGCCGCAUACUGCACACUGUCUUCAAGAAAGGGUCCUCGGGUAGGAUCCCACACCGAGUCCCCGACCGCGCCGAGAACCAAGGCUGACCACCGGCCCAACAUACUUUCUCUUUCUCUUCUCUCCCUCUCUUGCUCUCCUCUUUCCUAGUCUCUUUCCUCUCUCAUUUUUCUCUCUUCCUCUGUUCUUCUCCUCUCUCUUGCUGUUUAUCUCUCUUUCUCUCUCUAAUCUCGGGACAACGACUAGGCUGCUGCCCCACCUCUCUCUCUCUAUCGGGAUAGCAGCUAGGCUGCUGACCCUUCUCUCCUCUUCUCUCUCCCUCUCUCCCUAGCCAAGAUAGCGGCUAGGUCGCUGCCCCUCUCCUCUCUCUCUCUCUCACUCUCUCUAGCUGCUUCCCCCACUCCCUCUCUCUUGUUUUCCCUCUUCCCCUCUCUUCUCUUACUCUCUCUCCCUCUCUCCCUCUCGUUCGCCUCUCUUUUUCAGCUCUUCCUCUCUCAUUUUCUCUCUCUUUCCCUCUUACUUCUCUCUUUCCCUCUCUCUCCCUCCUAUAUCUCACCUCUCUCUCCUUCACUCUACCCCACCCUCUUCAUUCAUGAUCUCUCUUGUCUCACUUAAACCACUCUUAUGGGGUUCUUUCGAGGAGUCCUUGAUAUGGUUUAAAACCUGGCGUCCAAUGACCUUGUGAAUCGUCUAGGGGUCAUCAUCUGUUAUUUUGGUUGGUGAUGGCAGAGGUAGAUCGUGGCUGCAGUUGGUUAGUGAUGGCGGAGGUAGGUUGUGG